ACAUCCAGCGAACUUGGCAGAGAUGCCUUGGUGCCUUCGGGAACGCUGAGACAGGCGCUGCAUGGCUGUCGUCAGCUCGUGUUGUGAAAUGUUGGGUUAAGUCCCGNAACGAGCGCAACCCUUAUCCUUUGUUGCCAGCGAUUCGGUCGGGAACUCAAAGGAGACUGCCGGUGAUAAACCGGAGGAAGGUGGGGAUGACGUCAAGUCAUCAUGGCCCUUACGAGUAGGGCUACACACGUGCUACAAUGGCGCAUACAAAGAGAAGCGACCUCGCGAGAGCAAGCGGACCUCAUAAAGUGCGUCGUAGUCCGGAUCGGAGUCUGCAACUCGACUCCGUGAAGUCGGAAUCGCUAGUAAUCGUGGAUCAGAAUGCCACGGUGAAUACGUUCCCGGGCCUUGUACACACCGCCCGUCACACCAUGGGAGUGGGUUGCAAAAGAAGUAGGUAGCUUAACCUUCGGGAGGGCGCUUACCACUUUGUGAUUCAUGACUGGGGUGAAGUCGUAACAAGGUAGGCGUAGCGAG
This 525-nucleotide ribosomal RNA is filed under the name uncultured bacterium. RNAcentral's name for it is "bacterial SSU rRNA". It matches the Rfam family "Bacterial small subunit ribosomal RNA", at positions 984 to 1509 of the family's 1533-position model. The record is from RNAcentral.